RNAcentral lists this transfer RNA (73 nucleotides) under Apaloderma vittatum (bar-tailed trogon). It matches the Rfam family "tRNA". Rfam says of the family: Transfer RNA (tRNA) molecules are approximately 80 nucleotides in length. The record is from Rfam by way of RNAcentral. Lineage: Eukaryota; Metazoa; Chordata; Aves; Trogoniformes; Trogonidae.
GGCCAGUCAGCUCAGUUGGUUAGAGCGUGGUGCUGAUAACACCAAGCUCGGGGGUUCGAUCCCCGUUCGGUCA